CAACUUGGAAAGUGAGCUGAAGAGGCAAAAAAGAAACAAGAAAUGGAUAUCUAGAGCUCUCAGAGGAUGCCUCAGGCAAUCAGACUCUCUCGAGCUCUCUAGCUGGCUCCUGGUUCCAUAAGACCAGACUAUUUGAUCUACCUUGUUUCAUCAUACGUUCUCAAUCAUUGGCUUUAAGAAGCCAUCUCAAAUGCACACUGAGGCUUCAAAGGAACUGUCAGCAGCCUGCGAGUUUUCCUUCCACAAGGGACAGAGGAGACAUUGAAACAUUCAGUCAACAGUGUUUGCCACUCAUGUAAUCCGUUCCAAAGAUGGCAGCAGUCUAUUAGGAAAAAAUCACUCAUCAGGAUAAAAAUGCCUGGUCUCUCCGAAUAGUCUCCCCUCCUCCGCUUCCUUCCCAGGAUAGUUCCCCGAUGGUCUGGGGAUAGAGAAAACCCGUGGAGUCCUCCUGGCAGUGGUGGGAGUGUGGGCUGCCUUCUAUGCUGGCCCCUGCAGGGUGUGGCCUGACGACCCCGGUCUCUGGGUCAGUGCCCCUCAAGGACGACUGGUCUCGACUGGACUCUUGGCGAAUGACAGCUCCUCCUGCUGCCAACAUCCAAGCUCAUCUGUGCCUCCAGCCAUGAAGAUCACUGCCCAUGGCAGUCUCCUCUUGCCAGCUCAGUCCUCAGCCAGCUCAUGGUCCUCUCAGCAGCUCUGUGUCUGCUCUGGGGGUGGGCCUGGGCCUUUUUCCCCCACCGUAUGCUCUGCACCUGUCAUGGCCACCAGCAUAGAAGUGAAUGAAUCCUUCAAAAUUCAGCUGAAAUAUUGAACUCUUCGCCAAUGUGUCCACCGUUUCCUCCUACUGCUUCCUCUGUGCUCUGGUAAGAAGAUCAUCUUGCUGCUACACGGAGCAUUUUUUGGCUUCUAUUCCAGCCCCUGCAUGCAUCUCAUCUCUCCUACGUUAUCAAUCCCACCUCUCCCCCACUGCCCAGGUGGGGGCUUCCCAAGGCCACCCUCAGAUCCUUGCCAUGUACAUGUUACGCUCAAUAAAUAUUAAAAUUAGUUGAAGUUGUGUUCUGUCUAAUUAACU
RNAcentral lists this long non-coding RNA (1069 nucleotides) under Homo sapiens (human). RNAcentral's name for it is "HSALNT0324253". The record is from RNAcentral. Lineage: Eukaryota; Metazoa; Chordata; Mammalia; Primates; Hominidae.